Erinaceus europaeus (western European hedgehog) is the source of this 91-nucleotide non-coding RNA. The record is from Rfam. NCBI's taxonomy places the organism in Eukaryota, Metazoa, Chordata, Mammalia, Eulipotyphla, Erinaceidae.
GGCGGGACAGCGGGCAACGGAAUCCCAAAAGCAGCUGUUGUCUCCAGAGCAUUCCAGCUGCGCUUGGAUUUCGUUCCCCGCUCUCCUGCCC